Molecule: ribosomal RNA, 484 nt
Filed under: uncultured bacterium
Lineage: Bacteria
Description: bacterial SSU rRNA
Rfam family: Bacterial small subunit ribosomal RNA
Source: RNAcentral
GAUUGAACGCUGGCGGCAUGCCUUACACAUGCAAGUCAACGGCAGCACGGGAGCAAUCCUGGUGGCGAGUGGCGAACGGGUGAGUAAUAUAUCGGAACGUGCCCAGUCGUGGGGGAUAACGUAGCGAAAGCUACGCUAAUACCGCAUACGAUCUAUGGAUGAAAGCGGGGGAUCGCAAGACCUCGCGCGAUUGGAGCGGCCGAUAUCAGAUUAGGUAGUUGGUGAGGUAAAGGCUCACCAAGCCGACGAUCUGUAGCUGGUCUGAGAGGACGACCAGCCACACUGGGACUGAGACACGGCCCAGACUCCUACGGGAGGCAGCAGUGGGGAAUUUUGGACAAUGGGCGCAAGCCUGAUCCAGCAAUGCCGCGUGCAGGAUGAAGGCCUUCGGGUUGUAAACUGCUUUUGUACGGAACGAAACGGUGAGCUCUAAUACAGUUUGCUAAUGACGGUACCGUAAGAAUAAGCACCGGCUAACUACGUG